ACAACUUGUGCAGUAACGGUAUCGGCAGUCAGGUAUUCAACCCUAACAAAAACAGAGGAGGCUGCUGGAAUCCGCAAAUUCACCCUCCCACCAUGCCCGGGCUACAAAGGCUGUACCCUUUCUCCGCUGGAUUUUGGAGACAGUUUCCGUGGGAUAAGUGGUCUCCAAUUUUCGGCGUCCGUUCGGGAUAAAUCUGUCAUUCUGUUUGUUGACGAUAUCAAGAUGAAUUGGUAUAACAACAGCUGUGCUGCCGGUUUAGAACGGCUUCGUUCCCGUUGAAAUGUUUGACCCAAACCCGUUGCGAGAACACAAGGGGAGCAUGGAGAGCAUGGACCGGAAUUGAGCCCAUGUGCACCUGUAUGGAAUCGUAUUGUUCUCCGAUGCUUGAAUCUAUGUAUUAUGAUAUCCAAUGUUUGCUUUUCAGAACAGGGGGCGUAACUUUGUUUUUCACACUUCGGCAUUUAUCCUAAUGGUAAA
This 477-nucleotide small RNA is filed under the name Histoplasma capsulatum var. duboisii H88. RNAcentral describes it as "Histoplasma capsulatum H88 hypothetical RNA". The record is from RNAcentral. Lineage: Eukaryota; Fungi; Ascomycota; Eurotiomycetes; Onygenales; Ajellomycetaceae.